RNAcentral lists this ribosomal RNA (1377 nucleotides) under metagenome. RNAcentral describes it as "bacterial LSU rRNA". It matches the Rfam family "Bacterial large subunit ribosomal RNA", at positions 1557 to 2925 of the family's 2925-position model. The record is from RNAcentral.
UUUGGUGUGGCACGAGCGAACAUGUUUCGCGAAGUGAUUGGAAGUGGUUCCAAGAAAAGCCUCUAAGCUUCAGCUGUACGAGACCGUACCGCAAACCGACACAGGUGGACGGGAUGAAUAUUCCAAGGCGCUUGAGAGAACUCGGGAGAAGGAACUCGGCAAAUUGAUACCGUAACUUCGGGAGAAGGUAUGCCCCGGUAGUGUGAGGCGCCUGCGCGCUGAGCAUGAUGGGGUCGCAGAGAAUCGGUGGCUGCGACUGUUUAUUAAAAACACAGCACUCUGCAAAGACGAAAGUCGACGUAUAGGGUGUGACGCCUGCCCGGUGCCGGAAGGUUAAGUGAUGGGGUGCAAGCUCUUGAUCGAAGCCCCGGUAAACGGCGGCCGUAACAAUAACGGUCCUAAGGUAGCGAAAUUCCUUGUCGGCUAAGUUCCGACCUGCACGAAUGGCGUAACGAUGGCCACACUGUCUCCUCCCGAGACUCAGCGAAGUUGAAGUGUUUGUGAUGAUGCAAUCUACCCGCGGCUAGACGGAAAGACCCCAUGAACCUUUACUGUAGCUUUGCAUUGGACUGUGAACCGGCCUGUGUAGGAUAGGUGGGAGGCGCUGAAACCGAGUCGCCAGAUUCGGUGGAGCCAACCUUGAAAUACCACCCUGGUUUGUUUGCGGUUCUAACCUUGGUCCGUUAUCCGGAUUGGGGACAGUGCAUGGUGGGCAGUUUGACUGGGGCGGUCUCCUCCCAAAGCGUAACGGAGGAGUUCGAAGGUACGCUAGGUACGGUCGGAAAUCGUGCUGAUAGUGCAAUGGCAUAAGCGUGCUUGACUGUGAGACUGACAAGUCGAACAGGUGCGAAAGCAGGACAUAGUGAUCCGGUGGUUCUGAAUGGAAGGGCCAUCGCUCAACGGAUAAAAGGUACUCUGGGGAUAACAGGCUGAUACCGCCCAAGAGUUCAUAUCGACGGCGGUGUUUGGCACCUCGAUGUCGGCUCAUCUCAUCCUGGGGCUGUAGCCGGUCCCAAGGGUAUGGCUGUUCGCCAUUUAAAGAGGUACGUGAGCUGGGUUUAAAACGUCGUGAGACAGUUUGGUCCCUGUCUGCCGUGGGCGUUGGAUACUUGACGGAGCCUGCUCCUAGUACGAGAGGACCGGAGUGGACGUACCUCUGGUGUACCGGUUGUCAUGCCAAUGGCAUUGCCGGGUAGCUAUGUACGGAAGAGAUAACCGCUGAAGGCAUCUAAGCGGGAAACUCGUCUGAAGAUUAGGUAUCCCGGGGCCUCGAGCCCCCUGAAGGGUCGUUCAAGACCAGGACGUUGAUAGGUCAGGUGUGGAAGCGCAGUAAUGCGUUAAGCUAACUGAUACUAAUUGCCCGUGCGGCUUGAUCCC